RNAcentral lists this small RNA (479 nucleotides) under Colletotrichum phyllachoroides. RNAcentral describes it as "eukaryotic LSU rRNA". The stretch from base 105 to 258 matches the Rfam family "5.8S ribosomal RNA". Lineage: Eukaryota; Fungi; Ascomycota; Sordariomycetes; Glomerellales; Glomerellaceae. The record is from RNAcentral.
AAGGACGCCUCCCGGCCCUCCCGUCCGCGGGUGGGGCGCCCGCCGGAGGAUAACCAAACUCUGAUUUAACGACGUUUCUUCUGAGUGACACAAGUAAUAAUCAAAACUUUUAACAACGGAUCUCUUGGUUCUGGCAUCGAUGAAGAACGCAGCGAAAUGCGAUAAGUAAUGUGAAUUGCAGAAUUCAGUGAAUCAUCGAAUCUUUGAACGCACAUUGCGCCCGCCAGCAUUCUGGCGGGCAUGCCUGUUCGAGCGUCAUUUCAACCCUCAAGCUCUGCUUGGUUUUGGGGCCCUACGGUUGACGUAGGCCCUUAAAGGUAGUGGCGGACCCUCUCGGAGCCUCCUUUGCGUAGUAACAUUUCGUCUCGCAUUGGGAUUCGGAGGGACUCUUGCCGUAAAACCCCCAAUUUUUCUAAGGUUGACCUCGGAUCAGGUAGGAAUACCCGCUGAACUUAAGCAUAUCAAAAGCCGGGAGGAAU